This 253-nucleotide ribosomal RNA is filed under the name uncultured bacterium. RNAcentral describes it as "partial 16S ribosomal RNA". It matches the Rfam family "Bacterial small subunit ribosomal RNA", at positions 524 to 776 of the family's 1533-position model. The record is from RNAcentral.
UACGUAGGGGGCUAGCGUUGUCCGGAAUCAUUGGGCGUAAAGCGCGUGUAGGCGGCUCGGUAAGUCCGCUCUGAAAGCCCGGGGCUCAACCCCGGGAGGCGGGUGGAUACUGUCGAGCUCGAGUCCGGAAGAGGCAAGUGGAAUUCCCGGUGUAGCGGUGAAAUGCGUAGAUAUCUGGAGGAACACCGGUGGCGAAGGCGACAUCCUGGACCGGUAUUGACGCUGAGGCGCGAAAGCCAGGGGAGCAAACGGG